This 347-nucleotide ribosomal RNA is filed under the name uncultured bacterium. RNAcentral describes it as "partial 16S ribosomal RNA". It matches the Rfam family "Bacterial small subunit ribosomal RNA", at positions 338 to 682 of the family's 1533-position model. The record is from RNAcentral.
CCUACGGGCGACUGCAGUGAGGAAUAUUGGUCAAUGGGCGCGAGCCUGAACCAGCCAAGUAGCGUGAAGGAUGACUGCCCUACGGGUUGUAAACUUCUUUUAUAAAGGAAUAAAGUGAGGCACGUGUGCCGGUUUGUAUGUACCUUAUGAAUAAGGAUCGGCUAACUCCGUGCCAGCAGCCGCGGUAAUACGGAGGAUCCGAGCGUUAUCCGGAUUUAUUGGGGUUAAAGGGAGCGUAGCGGGGUUGUUAAGUCAGUUGUGAAAGUUUGCGGCUCAACCGUAAAAUUGCACUUGAUACUGGCAGUCUUGAGUUCAGUUGCGGUAGGCGGAAUUCGUGUUGUAGCGGU